CGUGCGGAUCGGGUCAUCGCUCCGUCGCGUCUCGACUGUAGCCGGUCGGGGCGGCGGUGAGAAAAGUCCGAACACCACAGGGCACCGUGCUUCCUAACGGGAAGGCGCCCCGACAGUAGUCGGGACGACGGCACGUGCAACAGAGAGCAGUCCCGCCCCGAAAAGCCGGUCCCGACUACCGUCGGGGCUGUCGGGGCAAGGGGUGAAAGGGUGCGGUAAGAGCGCACCGGCGUUCCGGGUCGGGAACAAGGUUGCCCGCCGAGUCAUCGGUGCAGGUAGGCCGCUUGAGACGGUCGGCGACGGCCGUUCCAGAUAGAUGAUGACCUCCCCGCCGGCCCGGGUACGGCCCCGGACGCGGGCAGACCGAAUUCGGCUUACAGAUCCGCACGUCCC
This 393-nucleotide RNase P RNA is filed under the name Bacteroidetes bacterium QH_2_63_10. RNAcentral describes it as "RNase P RNA component class A". It matches the Rfam family "Bacterial RNase P class A". From Rfam's summary of the family: Ribonuclease P (RNase P) is a ubiquitous endoribonuclease, found in archaea, bacteria and eukarya as well as chloroplasts and mitochondria. The record is from RNAcentral. Lineage: Bacteria; Pseudomonadati; Bacteroidota.